GACGAACGCUGGCGGCGUGCUUAACACAUGCAAGUCGAACGAUGAAGCCUAGCUUGCUAGGUGGAUUAGUGGCGAACGGGUGAGUAAUACGUGAGUGACCUACCUUUGACUCUGGGAUAAGCCUGGGAAACUGGGUCUAAUGCCGGAUACGACCAAUCUCCGCAUGGGGUGUUGGUGGAAAGCGUUAUGGAGUGGUUUUAGAUGGGCUCACGGCCUAUCAGCUUGUUGGUGAGGUAAUGGCUUACCAAGGCGACGACGGGUAGCCGGCCUGAGAGGGUGACCGGCCACACUGGGACUGAGACACGGCCCAGACUCCUACGGGAGGCAGAAGUGGGGAAUAUUGCACAAUGGGCGCAAGCCUGAUGCAGCGACGCCGCGUGAGGGAUGACGGCCUUCGGGUUGUAAACCUCUGUUAGCAUCGAAGAAGCGAAAGUGACGGUAGGUGCAGAGAAAGCGCCGGCUAACUACGUG
RNAcentral lists this ribosomal RNA (471 nucleotides) under uncultured bacterium. Its description in RNAcentral is "partial 16S ribosomal RNA". It matches the Rfam family "Bacterial small subunit ribosomal RNA", at positions 28 to 507 of the family's 1533-position model. The record is from RNAcentral.